This 755-nucleotide ribosomal RNA is filed under the name Kocuria sp. RNAcentral's name for it is "bacterial SSU rRNA". It matches the Rfam family "Bacterial small subunit ribosomal RNA", at positions 293 to 1058 of the family's 1533-position model. The record is from RNAcentral. Lineage: Bacteria; Bacillati; Actinomycetota; Actinomycetes; Micrococcales; Micrococcaceae.
UGAGAGGGUGACCGGCCACACUGGGACUGAGACACGGCCCAGACUCCUACGGGAGGCAGCAGUGGGGAAUAUUGCACAAUGGGCGAAAGCCUGAUGCAGCGACGCCGCGUGAGGGAUGACGGCCUUCGGGUUGUAAACCUCUUUCAGCAGGGAAGAAGCCACAAGUGACGGUACCUGCAGAAGAAGCGCCGGCUAACUACGUGCCAGCAGCCGCGGUAAUACGUAGGGCGCAAGCGUUGUCCGGAAUUAUUGGGCGUAAAGAGCUCGUAGGCGGUUUGUCGCGUCUGCUGUGAAAGCCCGGGGCUUAACCCCGGGUGUGCAGUGGGUACGGGCAGACUAGAGUGCAGUAGGGGAGACUGGAAUUCCUGGUGUAGCGGUGGAAUGCGCAGAUAUCAGGAGGAACACCGAUGGCGAAGGCAGGUCUCUGGGCUGUUACUGACGCUGAGGAGCGAAAGCAUGGGGAGCGAACAGGAUUAGAUACCCUGGUAGUCCAUGCCGUAAACGUUGGGCACUAGGUGUGGGGGACAUUCCACGUUUUCCGCGCCGUAGCUAACGCAUUAAGUGCCCCGCCUGGGGAGUACGGCCGCAAGGCUAAAACUCAAAGGAAUUGACGGGGGCCCGCACAAGCGGCGGAGCAUGCGGAUUAAUUCGAUGCAACGCGAAGAACCUUACCAAGGCUUGACAUAUACCGGAUCGUUCCAGAGAUGGUUCUUCCCCUUUGGGGUCGGUAUACAGGUGGUGCAUGGUGUCGUCAG